This is a long non-coding RNA of Uranotaenia lowii, 1025 nucleotides long. RefSeq lists it as uncharacterized. The transcript is spliced from 3 exons. The record is from RefSeq and is a predicted model, not a curated record. Lineage: Eukaryota; Metazoa; Arthropoda; Insecta; Diptera; Culicidae.
CUCAUUUUACCAGUACUUGCUAACUGCAAUCGACAGGAGUCGUCGGUAGAGUCCCAUAGGUGCUUUUUUAAUGUUUUCCGAGAGCAGACGCUCAUCGAUGAACAUCAUUGGGCGAGGUGACCGAUACUACCGAAGGAACCUUUGCCUGUUCGAUCGUCCCUACACAACUUUAGGCCCGAACGCUGAUGCAGUUAAGUUUUAACCCUUCCCUUUAAAUAACAUUCCACGCCGAGUAUGCCAAGUCCGGUGAGGAAAUCAUCAAGGCCAGAAGUAGAAGCGGAGGAUAAAGGAGAUAAAUUUAAGAAGCAGUGCCAGGAAACGGAAGAAGCCCUCUCUCAUUAUUCGAUUCCAAUAACUGAUUUCGUCGAACAUUUCCACGGCUAGCCACCUACAGCGUUACCGUUCCUACACAAAACAUCAAACACAGCGUUGUAUUAGGAAAUAUUCCAACAACCCAACCCAACGGCCUAACAACGGAAUCAUUGUUGAAGAGAUGGUAGAGCGGCAUUACUAUAGAUGGCGCACACAAGUUUGCACCGGAAGGGCCCCGAUAGAUCGGAAAAGCAAGAAGUGUUUAGAUUUACAGAAGUUUCCUUCCGAACAACGACGAACGGAACAAUCUAAUCUGAUUUAUCGCGAUGCAGCAGAGUUCGAUCAAGAAUCAAGACUGAUGGAUUUAAAUCUGGACAGGAGUAAAAGAAUAGAUGAUAUCCUAACCGGAAGUCAAACAGCAGAGCAGUGAUUGCAGCCAUUAGGAACUCGGCCUCAAUGUCGAUAGGUAUCUGACACCAAAGGUGCGAAAAAACUGGAACAUACUAUCCGAAACCACAAAUUGUAUCACAACGAUAACAGGAAUCUCAAAGAUUUAUUCAUUUAAAAAAAUUGUUAGCAUUAACUUUAGAUUUCAGCAAAUAUUUAAUACCAUAAGUAUUUUUUUUAAACUUAUUAUGGACAUCAGUUUAUAUUACAUGAAAGCUAUUCGAAAAAUGAUUUGGAUUCGCGCAAAGUAAGACUCGUCUCAUAUA